This is a long non-coding RNA of Ipomoea triloba (trilobed morning glory), 1340 nucleotides long. RefSeq lists it as uncharacterized. The record is from RefSeq and is a predicted model, not a curated record. The transcript is spliced from 4 exons. Lineage: Eukaryota; Viridiplantae; Streptophyta; Magnoliopsida; Solanales; Convolvulaceae.
UUCUUACUUACAAAUCGAGGUUAAAGGGAAUAAGAGGUUCUUCUCCAUUUUUUGAAAUGCCACAAAAGAGAAGUUUGAACUUCUAUCAGAUUUUUCGCAUGGAAACUUGCUCGCAUAAAUUGGAAAUUCCAUCGUGCACGGAAUCAGAGAGAAGAGAUUUGAAAAUGAGGGUUUUACUGAGGAAUCGAGAAAAGAAAGUUUGGUUGGUCGAGAUAUCAAAAAUUCGAGGUGCUAUGUUUUUCGAGAAUGGAUGGGAAAAAGUGGUGAAGGAUAAUUGUGUCACUGAUGGAGACCAAUUGUUUUUUAUCUAUAAAGAUUAUGAUGUGUUUGACUUCUUUGUAGUUGGCCCAUUCUGCUCUGAAAAGAUAGGGGUGGAAGGUGAACGUGCUAGAGUGGUAGAGGUUAUAAGAAAGGAAAGUGGUGAUGAGAGUCGAGAUAUAUUUGUUUUGGUGGCAAAUAUCUGUAAAUGUGUCAAGGAAUAUGUUAAGAAAUAAGAGGAUUCAGAUAUAGAUACAUGUAUUAGUGUCAAUAAGGAUGUUAAGAAAGAAGAGUAUACGGAUUCGGAUGCAAAUGCAAGAGAUGAGAAUGAUGAUGAUCAUCAUAGUAUAGUAGUUACCCAGGAUUAUAUGGAUGCAACAGAAGAGGAGGACAAUGAUAAUGAUGAUGAUCAUACACUUCCCUAGGACAAAAAAUUCGGGUCAAGUGGAUCCAAAAAAGCUAUUCCUGACCAUUAUGGACUAGAUCUUUUUCUAUCAGGGCAUUAUAUUCAACUUGAGAAUGCUUAUUUCGUGAUGAGAAUUAGACAAAAAAGGCGUGGUGAUCUGUAUGUUCUAAAGGAAAUGAUCAGGGAUUACAAUCUUCAAUUACCUUCAACUGUGACUCUGCGUGACGCGAAAGGCAGAGAGUGGAAAACAAUUGUAAAGGUUUGGGCUGAUGGUCGAACAUGGUUGUCUGGGGGAUGGCGAGGCCGCCUAUGCAGAAAGAACCUCAUUGGGGAAGAAGAUCAGUGCAUUUGUGAGUUCCUGCCUUCUGAAUUGGGGAAUGAUGAAGAUAAUAUUGUGUUGCAGGUUACGGUUAUCAAAGAGGAUGGCCCCUUGCAAAUGAGGAAUGAAGAUGAAGAUAUAUAGAUAGAGCACACCUAGUUUGGUUAUAACCGAUUAGCUUUCAAUUUGUUGGGUUUUUAAAUUUGGCCUGGACUGGGGGGCCUAGAAUAAGAUGCAUACAUGCAUGCUGUUGUUACAUACUUCAAUUGACAUAAUGUUUUGUUUUGGUGAAUGGUGAUGGACUGCAUAUCUCAUUUAAUUGUGUUUCUUUCAAUUCAGAUCUAUUCUGGUUUUUAA